UUGGUCAUUUAGAGGAAGUAAAAGUCGUAACAAGGUUUCCGUAGGUGAACCUGCGGAAGGAUCAUUAUCGAGUUUUGAACGGGUUGUAGCUGGCCUCUCACGAGGCAUGUGCACGCCUGGCUCAUCCACUCUUAACCUCUGUGCACUUUAUGUAAGAGAAAAAAAUGGUGGAAGCUUCCAGGAUCUCGCGAGAGGUCUUCGGUUGAACAAGCCGUUUUUCUUUCUUAUGUUUUACUACAAACGCUUCAGUUAUAGAAUGUCAACUGUGUAUAACACAUUUAUAUACAACUUUCAGCAACGGAUCUCUUGGCUCUCGCAUCGAUGAAGAACGCAGCGAAAUGCGAUAAGUAAUGUGAAUUGCAGAAUUCAGUGAAUCAUCGAAUCUUUGAACGCACCUUGCACUCCUUGGUAUUCCGAGGAGUAUGCCUGUUUGAGUCUCAUGGUAUUCUCAACCCCUAAAUUUUUGUAAUGAAGGUUUAGCGGGCUUGGACUUGGAGGUUGUGUCGGCCCUCGCUGGUCGACUCCUCUGAAAUGCAUUAGCGUGAAUCUUACGGAUCGCCUUCAGUGUGAUAAUUAUCUGCGCUGUGGUGUUGAAGUAUUUAUGGUGUUCAUGCUUCGAACCGUCUCCUUGCCGAGACAAUCAUUUGACAAUCUGAGCUCAAAUCAGGUAGGACUACCCGCUGAACUUAAGCAUAUCAAUAAG
This 703-nucleotide ribosomal RNA is filed under the name uncultured fungus. RNAcentral describes it as "eukaryotic LSU rRNA". The stretch from base 287 to 440 matches the Rfam family "5.8S ribosomal RNA". Lineage: Eukaryota; Fungi. The record is from RNAcentral.